Molecule: long non-coding RNA, 758 nt
Organism: Orbicella faveolata
Lineage: Eukaryota; Metazoa; Cnidaria; Anthozoa; Scleractinia; Merulinidae
Source: RefSeq, a predicted model, not a curated record
ACUGAGUUAAAAAGAUCCUCCCUGAUUUAAAAUUAAAGUUCCCACUUUCCCAGCUUAUUUUUCUCUGGGCAAGUAUCUGACAGAAGCAACAAGGUUCUAAUACAGUCAUGUACCUGUAUAUAAAGACUGCCUUGUUCAAAAUGCCAGGCGAAGAAACUCAACAGAAACUUGACAUUUUGUGAACAUGUUAAGUAAAAACUUUAAUUUAAUAAUUUUAAUUUUAUGAGGUGAUUUCUUUUAAUAUGGGGUCAUGCAACUCUUUUACAAAUUAUCCUUAUGGCUUAUUUUUUGUUGUUGUUGUUUGUUCGUUGUUAUGUAAAUCUGCCAUUAAAUUGUAAUAAAUAAAUAAAUAGAUAAAUAACUGACUACAUGUAUUUGAAUAUUUUGAUAGCUCUUGAAUCAAUCAUUGAAAGCUAAGUUGUAUAGCCCUUUGUCAAAGCCACGACAAGAGCAGAAUACUGGUACUAAUUACAACAAAAUCACAAACAGGCAGUAAAUGUAAUUAAUGCACCUGGAUGGAACAUUACUUGUAAGCAGUUGAUAUAAAAAUGCUGACUAUGAUGUGCCUGGAGGUGGGUUCUUGCAGCCAGUGAAAAGGAAGCAAAACAUUACAUCAGAUAAUAGAUAUAAUAUGAAUAAUUAUAUAUAACCUUAAAUCUGCAUAUACAAAUAAUCCCAGAACAGGUAAGCGUAAGCUUGUAUCGUUCGCAAUACCCAUGUAUAAUAUUAUAAAUAAUAAUAAAAGAUUUGUCACGACA